GAGGAACCCGGUGCGAAUCCGGGGCGGUCGCGCCACUGUGACCGGGGAGCGGUCCCUCAAGUCGCCACUGCCCUCGCGGGUGGGAAGGCGAGGUGACCGCGUCGAUCCGGGAGCCAGGAGACUC
Molecule: non-coding RNA, 124 nt
Filed under: Saccharopolyspora rectivirgula
Lineage: Bacteria; Bacillati; Actinomycetota; Actinomycetes; Pseudonocardiales; Pseudonocardiaceae
Source: RNAcentral